CCCUUCGGGGGUGAGUACAGCGGCGGACGGGUGAGUAACACGUGAGCGAUCCACCUCGAGGCGGGGGGCAACCCAGGGAAACCUGGGCUAAUACCGCAUACAGCGGCAGGCAUGGAAGCCUGUCGUGAAAGCUGGCCUCUCCAUGGAAGCUAGCGCCUCUGGACGAGCUCGCGGCCUAUCAGCUUGUUGGUGAGGUAACGGCUCACCAAGGCGAUGACGGGUAGCUGGCGUGAGAGCGCGAUCAGCCACACUGGGACUGAGACACGGCCCAGACUCCUACGGGAGGCAGCAGUGGGGAAUCUUGCGCAAUGGGCGAAAGCCUGACGCAGCGACGCCGCGUGGGGGAGGAAGGCCCUAGGGUUGUAAACCCCUGUCAGGUGGGACGAACCGGGGAUCGGCGAAAGCCGGUUUCUCUGACGGUACCACCAGAGGAAGCUCCGGCUAACUCCGUGCCAGCAGCCGCGGUAAAACGGAGGGAGCAAGCGUUGUUCGGAAUUACUGGGCGUAAAGGGCGCGUAGGCGGCCCUGUAAGUCGCAUGUGAAAGGCCGGGGCUCAACCCCGAGUAUUGCAUGCGAUACUGCAAGGCUAGAGACAGGUAGGGGCGAGCGGAAUUCCCGGUGUAGCGGUGGAAUGCGUAGAUAUCGGGAAGAACACCGGUGGCGAAGGCGGCUCGCUUGGCCUGUUCUGACGCUGAAGCGCGAAAGCGUGGGGAGCGAACAGGA
RNAcentral lists this ribosomal RNA (723 nucleotides) under uncultured bacterium. Its description in RNAcentral is "bacterial SSU rRNA". It matches the Rfam family "Bacterial small subunit ribosomal RNA", at positions 76 to 777 of the family's 1533-position model. The record is from RNAcentral.